Molecule: ribosomal RNA, 486 nt
Filed under: uncultured bacterium
Lineage: Bacteria
Description: partial 16S ribosomal RNA
Rfam family: Bacterial small subunit ribosomal RNA
Source: RNAcentral
AUUGAACGCUGGCGGCAUGCCUUACACAUGCAAGUCGAACGGCAGCACGGGUGCUUGCCCCUGGUGGCGAGUGGCGAACGGGUGAGUAAUACAUCGGAACAUGUCCUGUAGUGGGGGUUAGCCCGGCGAAAGCCGGAUUAAUACCGCAUACGAUCUACGGAUGAAAGCGGGGGCCCUUCGGGCCUCGCGCUAUAGGGUUGGCCGAUGGCUGAUUAGCUAGUUGGUGGGGUAAAGGCCUACCAAGGCGACGAUCAGCAGCUGGUCUGAGAGGACGACCAGCCACACUGGGACUGAGACACGGCCCAGACUCCUACGGGAGGCAGCAGUGGGGAAUUUUGGACAAUGGGCGAAAGCCUGAUCCAGCAAUGCCGCGUGUGUGAAGAAGGCCUUCGGGUUGUAAAGCACUUUUGUCCGGAAAGAAAUCCUUGGCCCUAAUACGGUCGGGGGAUGACGGUACCGGAAGAAUAAGCACCGGCUAACUACGUG